Molecule: transfer RNA, 76 nt
Filed under: Choiromyces venosus 120613-1
Lineage: Eukaryota; Fungi; Ascomycota; Pezizomycetes; Pezizales; Tuberaceae
Description: tRNA-Asp
Source: RNAcentral
GCAUUCGUGGUGUAGUUGGUUAUCAUACCAGUCUAUCAAACUGGUGGUCACCCCAGUUCGAGCCAGAGCGAAAUCA